CCCUUAGAUGUUCUGGGCCGCACGCGCGCUACACUGAUGCAUUCAACGAGUUUUUCCUGGUCCGAGAGGAAUGGGUAACCUUUUGAAAGUGCAUCGUGCUAGGGAUAGACUAUUGCAAUUAUUGGUCUUCAACGAGGAAUUCCUAGUAGACGUAGUUCAUCAGACUGCAUCGAUUACGUCCCUGCCCUUUGUACACACCGCCCGUCGCUCCUACCGAUUGGAUGGUCCGGUGAAGCCUCCGGAUUGGCGCGCACCUCGGUGCCGCCGAGAAGUUGGCUAAACCUUACCAUUUAGAGGAAGGUGAAGUCGUAACA
Molecule: ribosomal RNA, 314 nt
Filed under: uncultured eukaryote
Lineage: Eukaryota
Description: partial 18S ribosomal RNA
Rfam family: Eukaryotic small subunit ribosomal RNA
Source: RNAcentral